UGUUAUGCCUUUCGAGGCCCGAGUGGGAAAUAGAAUCAGGGAGUUUCUUGAAACUUAGAGAACUUCUUAUCGAAGACACCGAUUUGGUGCAAUGGAGACCUCAACGUGGAAGCUUCCCAAAGCUUGAUGUUGUAAUCUGAUGCAUUGCUACAAAUUACAGAAACUCAAUUGGUCGUUUGAUCAUUCUCAGAUCAAACGUAUUGGAUUAGUUGACUGCAAUCCUUUAGCUGUCGCUUGUGCCAUUCAAUUACAAGACAAGUUUUCAUUUGAACUUGUCGUGGGAUCUUCUUUUUGAGCUCAAGUCACUCUGCAACUUGCCAUACAGGUUAGUCUUUCUACUCUGCAAUAUACAUCACUGUCUUAAUGUGUUUGAAGUUGUCCAUCUAUAAAUUUUCAGGUCAAUGAGAGAGACGAAGGAGCCGCGUUAUCCCGGAUAUUGUAUUGCCACAUCGUCGUGUGAAUUUAAGGAUUGUGACUUGUAUUGGAUUGUGCUAAAUUUUUGUAUGUUGGAUUUGUGGAAAACAUUAGUCCCUUGUUUCAAUUCAAGGAUUGUAAUCUUUCUGUGUUAUGCAUGAUUUUCACUUUGUUUUGAUAUUAGCUUUGUAUUUCAUGGAAGCUCUCAAUAUGAAUUUCUGAGAGAACAUUUGUUGUGAUGACAUUCCUGAUGAGCUUAUUUCCAAUACUAUGUUAUUUUUGAGAACUCAUGUUGCUGUUGUCUUCUUUCUAUUAUUUUGAUUUCUUUGAGGAAUAGUUUACAAUUUCUUUCAAAUUUAAAAGCUAUGUAAAAUCAUUAUUGGGUUGAGUUGAACAGUUCAUAAAAAAUACUGCUUCAUUUUUUCCCCACAAUUGAUGUUGCUUAUCGAGAUUUGAUCGAGGCGAUUUUCCUAAAUUGAGAUGAAAUUUGAUGUGAUUCUGC
RNAcentral lists this long non-coding RNA (916 nucleotides) under Salvia miltiorrhiza (redroot sage). Its description in RNAcentral is "long non-coding RNA (SMIL_LNC006754)". Lineage: Eukaryota; Viridiplantae; Streptophyta; Magnoliopsida; Lamiales; Lamiaceae. The record is from RNAcentral.